CACAAACCAUAAUUAUUUUCUGGUGACUUUUGAAAAAUGACAUCGAUAUUAAAUUUAAAUAUUUAUAUUUUAUUUUUCCCGAAAUUAGUAAUCCACAGAAAUUAUCAUAUUUUCAAUAUUGUUCCUUAUAGAUGACAACGUGUGAGUAGAGGUACUCUAGUAACUGUCCCAGGUAAGAGUUAUGUACUUACAUGAUAUGUUGAAUUGAAAGCAGACGUUUUUUAUUAAUUGGCUACAACCACUUUGUAACUUUUGUUACUCAUUGGAAUCAUACCUCAUCACAUUUUUGUAUGCUGAAUUUAAUAUAUAUGGAUAAUAUUGGUAAGUGCAUAUCAAAAAACCAAUCAAGAUAAUAAAAAAAAACCAAUACAAAACAAGUACUAAAAGGGUACGACAAUAAUCAAAUACACUUACCAGGCCCAUUUCAUUUAUCAAAUGUCAAGUCUAUAAUAUAUAUAGUUUGACUAGCUUGUUGAUUGUCUUUAUUAAAAAAAAGAGUAAUACCAAGAAUAACGAACUCAAAGGUAAAUUAUCAAAGGGGGAAGUCCAAUCAAACUUACAAAACAAACUAACGAAACGAAUUUAAAAUAACUGACAUGUUUCCCAAUUACGUUCAUACUUUUUUAGAUCAAGGUUGUGGGAAAAUAUGAUUUCAUUUUAUCUAAACCGCCCAAUUAAAUGACAGAUUUUAUAACUCCGUUACAUUGACAAAAUUAUGUGAAUCAUCCAAACAAACGUAAGAAACAGUUAUUUAUUAAAAAAAAAACAUAAAAUAUUCUAAAGUUAUCACAUACAUUUUAGUCAAUUGCAUUGUCUUUAACAAUUAGAAAUAUAAAAAAAAACAAAUCGUUCAUUAAGCAAAUCACAAAAAAUAUAAUAUGAUUGACAUCUACACACGUAAACGUGUUGUUGUUGUAGGUGACCAUAAAUGUCAACUAUAAACAUGUUCUUUAUUUGUUUAAACAUUUUUUUUGUCUUUUGAAUUGAUUAUCAUUUUAUCGCCUGCUGCUUUAUAGUAUGCGAUGACCAUAAGGACAGGUAAUGAGCAAUAUAGAACUCUAUUUUGUUAAACAAAUGUAUUGAAAAACACAACUCACAUGUUCAAAAUGUGCCACUACUAAUCGAAACUAUAAGAACAAGUUCAGAACGGAACACAUUAUGACAAUACAAAAUGAAUAAAAUGAUGUUAAACGUAACUUAUUAAAUUAACAUAAUUUUAAAUGUGGAACAAAGUGAUAACAUAAUAAUUCUAUAUCACAUCACAACCUCGAAACAUGUUCAUCCAUAAGAUACACAACAUUUAUGGUGUGUCAAGUAUCAAUAAUUUUAUAUGCAUUUCAUAAAAUUAUAAAGAGGUAUAAUGAUAAUUGUUGUAACAAUGAAUCCUUCGAAAGAGGGCUAAUAUAUAUGUUUUUAUCUACCUUUAAACAAUUCUAAACGCUUUGCAUUCUGUAAUAUUAUAUUGUCUACUUUACGUUUCUCAUUAAGACACAUUAUAUCGUUAUAUGCAUUAAAUUCUAUGUUUAUUACAAAUAAUUAUGGCGCUAUAAUACUUAGCAGUGUACACAAUUUAACGUCGUUCAUAAAGACACUUUAUAUGCAGUAACGUCUAUGUUCAUUGCAGAUAAAUAUGGUGCAAUAAUACCUGACAUAGUAUACAAAAUAAAGUUGUUCAUACAUACACAUUAUAUUUAACACUGUCGAUGUUUAUUACAGCUGAUUUUAAACAUUUAGGCGCUCCAAUAAAAAAAGUUGCUAAUUUGAAAGAUGUUGCUGAUGACAAGCCAGUAGCGUGGACACCACCUCCGCCACCACCACCACCGGAUCCACCAAAUCCUCACUCAUGAUAUUUUCAAUAACUGAUUUGAAACUUAUCAGCAUAAUACCUUCCAUAACGGUAUCUUUUUUAGCAAUCGAAAAAUGUUGAUAUCUUAUGUUCAUAAUAUUAAGAGUUAUCUGUUGGUUUUUUUUUAAUAUUCAAUCUACUGCAUAAAGUUACAUUACCCG
This 2007-nucleotide long non-coding RNA is filed under the name Mytilus galloprovincialis (Mediterranean mussel). Lineage: Eukaryota; Metazoa; Mollusca; Bivalvia; Mytilida; Mytilidae. The record is from RNAcentral.